GGUAAUUGUCCUCAAUCUUCACUUGAUGCUUCUCUCUCCUGCCGUUGUUUCUCUCUCUAUUGGCUGCAUCUAUCUCGCGCGUAAUCUCCCCCAGUUCGCGCGUGAUUUGUGAACAAACUUGAGAGAUCUAGUGUCAGUUCGUAAAGACCAUGUUGUUAGUUAUUGCAAGAAGUUAGUUUGCUCUUGGCGGCUUUAGGGACCUCCAAAUUUUAGAAGUUUCUGGGAUUGCUGCGUUGCUGUUGCCUGGUUUCUUUGCCACAAGUUGUUUUUGAAGAAGGAAGUUGUUAUUUUGUUGGCUCUUUGCUGACUGGUGCGGCUGGCUUAUGUGGGGAUCUAGUGUAGAUUGCUUUUAUUUGUAGAUUAGUUGUGUGCGGAAGUGGCAUUGUCUUUGUGUUUUCGAAAUUUCUAGUCAGAUCUGGUGCUUGAAGAAUUCUGUUAUGAGUGUUCCUGUGGAGGAGUAUUUUUAAUUCUUGGCAGGGAGUUUUUGGUUGCUUUAGAGGUCUGGUAUGGAAGUUAUUCUCAUUCUUGCUAUGGCUGGGUUGUUCUGGGUCUCGUGUUCUUGUUGCUGCUGUGAUUGAGUUCUGCAAAUCGAGAUAUUUUUGGCUGAAUUUAGGAGAAUUUUUAUUUUUAGUCAUAUUGAUUAUUUGUUUGUUGUGGCAGUUGCAGUUUCGACAAGUCCAGGGGCGUUGUUGCUUGGGUGUUUCUAGUUUUGUGUAUUUUCUGCAUGUUGUGUUUUUUCAGUGGAGUUGGCCGUGGGUUUCGGGUUGGAGUUUUAUUGUUUUCUCUGGGAAGACUUGCCUGCUGUGCUUGGUAGUCGUUUAUUUAAAUUAUUUCAGCUGCUUUUGUCUCCUCUGGGAGUCUAAUGUUGAGGGUUUUAAUGUUAAUCAAUUCUUCUGCUCCAUUUUAUGCUUCCGAGGCUGCUGCUAUUUUAUUGAUUGGGGUUCAGGAGUUGGUGUUUUAUUUGUAAAUCAAUGUAUCUGGUUCAUAAUUUAGGUGGUAGCUCCCUUGAUUGAUUUAGAGGUGGAGCAGCUGUGUGGGAGGUCUAGCACUCAUAAUCAAUGGAGUGAUUGCUUUUUAUCUAUCUGGAGGUGUUCGCUUGUGUUCAUCUGGUUGGCUUUUUUUUUUCUUUUCUCCGUUGGAGGCUUUGUAUUUUCAACUUUUAGUAUUGUUUUGGUGUUGCCUCUUUGAGUGAUGUUCUUAGAGGGAUUUUUUUUUUGAGUGGACUCCUCUCUUUGUAUUUUUUUCUAUAUAUGUUAUAAAGUGAGGUGCCGUCCUCAAUUACCCAAAAAAAAUAAUUACG
Molecule: long non-coding RNA, 1300 nt
Organism: Daucus carota subsp. sativus
Lineage: Eukaryota; Viridiplantae; Streptophyta; Magnoliopsida; Apiales; Apiaceae
Exons: 4
Source: RefSeq, a predicted model, not a curated record